UAUGGAACCACCGUUGUGUGCUCCGUGCAUUACGUCGAAGGCAAAUACGCCCUCUAAUCGAUGUGUAACUUGCGCGCAUCGGUGGGGCUUGAUAAGACAAUCAAG
RNAcentral lists this unclassified non-coding RNA (105 nucleotides) under Artemisia annua (sweet wormwood). RNAcentral describes it as "partial miscellaneous RNA". The record is from RNAcentral. Lineage: Eukaryota; Viridiplantae; Streptophyta; Magnoliopsida; Asterales; Asteraceae. RNAcentral also lists the same sequence under 8 other names.